AGCUUGCUCCCGGAUGUUAGCGGCGGACGGGUGAGUAACACGUGGGUAACCUGCCUGUAAGACUGGGAUAACUCCGGGAAACCGGAGCUAAUACCGGAUAGUUCCUUGAACCGCAGGGUUCAAGGAUGAAAGACGGUUUCGGCUGUCACUUACAGAUGGACCCGCGGCGCAUUAGCUAGUUGGUGAGGUAACGGCUCACCAAGGCGACGAUGCGUAGCCAACCUGAGAGGGUGAUCGGCCACACUGGGACUGAGACACGGCCCAGACUCCUACGGGAGGCAGCAGUAGGGAAUCUUCCGCAAUGGACGAAAGUCUGACGGAGCAACGCCGCGUGAGUGAUGAAGGUUUUCGGAUCGUAAAGCUCUGUUGUUAGGGAAGAACAAGUGCAAGAGUAACUGCUUGCACCUUGACGGUACCUAACCAGAAAGCCACGGCUAACUACGUGCCAGCAGCCGCGGUAAUACGUAGGUGGCAAGCGUUGUCCGGAAUUAUUGGGCGUAAAGGGCUCGCAGGCGGUUUCUUAAGUCUGAUGUGAAAGCCCCCGGCUCAACCGGGGAGGGUCAUUGGAAACUGGGAAACUUGAGUGCAGAAGAGGAGAGUGGAAUUCCACGUGUAGCGGUGAAAUGCGUAGAGAUGUGGAGGAACACCAGUGGCGAAGGCGACUCUCUGGUCUGUAACUGACGCUGAGGAGCGAAAGCGUGGGGAGCGAACAGGAUUAGAUACCCUGGUAGUCCACGCCGUAAACGAUGAGUGCUAAGUGUUAGGGGGGUUUCCGCCCCCUUAGUGCUGCAGCUAACGCAUUAAGCACUCCGCCUGGGGGAGUACGGGUCGCAAGACUGAAAACUCAAAGGGAAUUGACGGGGGGCCCGCCACAAGCGGUGGAAGCAUGUGGGUUUAAUUCGAAGCAACGCGAAGAACCUUACCAGGUC
This 929-nucleotide ribosomal RNA is filed under the name Bacillus sp. (in: firmicutes). Its description in RNAcentral is "bacterial SSU rRNA". It matches the Rfam family "Bacterial small subunit ribosomal RNA", at positions 77 to 980 of the family's 1533-position model. The record is from RNAcentral. Lineage: Bacteria; Bacillati; Bacillota; Bacilli; Caryophanales; Bacillaceae.